UAUAAAAUUAUAUGACAGUCUACAUAAAAUAAGCGAGCAGAUCCUUAUAUCAAGCAUAUGACUGGAGCUUUGCAGAUUUAUUUUCUGGGAUUAUCUCUUUGUCCAGAUCAAUCCUCAUCAUUUCGCUCAUCUAAGGAGGUAAUUUGGAAAGAGGCUGAUGGAAGUACGCAGACAGGAUGUCUCAAAGACAGGGAGACAAGAUUCAUUAGGUCAUACCUGAGAAGGACAUCAAGGCCUUGGGAAGCUUUUAUGAGACACACUGGAGCAAUCAGGAGGGAAAUCCCUCAAGCUUUUCAGCAGUUACCUGAUGUAAGGCCAAAGCACACAUGUGUCCAAAUGAACAAAAAGCUUCUAUGGAUUCACGGUGUGUAAUUUAGUUGACACUGUGACCAGAAUAACCUCAUGGGGACAUAAUUCAAGGAACUGAUUUUUUCAGAAAUGGAGAAAUCAGACUACACACUGAAAUGGAGAAAUAAGACUCUUGCACUUUAAACAGGUGGGUUUGGAGCAUUAAAUUAGGGUUUUUAAUCUCCAUGGAUUAAAGCAUUCUAGGAAAACGGUCCAAUCAGAUGACAUACGGGUGUGAAGCGUUGGGUAACAAAUAGACAAUAUGCUAGAGUGCAGCAUUACAGCGUAUUACACCUAAAGCAUAAAAGUAAUUAAACCCUAUAGAGGGUCAACCUGUGCCUAUACUUCCUUUUGUCACAUCAGAGGUCAGCACAAGGUCAGACAGCACACAUUCUGAUUUCUACCAAAUCCUGGCACUUUUUUAGUGAGAGUGCAUCAUUCAUAAAGGACCAUCACUGCCAGUUGGCAAACACAAGACAAGCAAAAUGCAAAUGGUGUCACUUGGACCUUGAAACAUGUUGAGCUGUGACUUUUCAGUCAAUGUAAUCCAAAUAUCUGUUUUAGAAAGGGUUGAUAAUUACCAAGACUUUAUGCGGAAACUUUAGUAAGCUUGGGUUGCAUCAUAUUAAACCAAUAUUUGUUAUACUAGUAAUGUUCUACUUAAGUUAUUGAUUUUUAUUGUUAGUUGGUUGAGUGUUUGAUCCUUGAAGCUAAAAUGAAAAAAUAAAAAAAUAAAAUAAAAAUACUUGCCUAAUAUAAUACCAUGCAAAAGUUUGGGGACAGUAAACUUUUUUAAUUAAGUGAUGAUGCAUUAAAUUGAAUAAAAAAUGACAAUUUUAAGACUUUUCCAUUGUGUCAGGAAAAUUCUAUUUUAUUUAUCUAAGAAUCCUGAAA
This is a long non-coding RNA of Cyprinus carpio (common carp), 1242 nucleotides long. RefSeq lists it as uncharacterized. The record is from RefSeq and is a predicted model, not a curated record. The transcript has 3 exons. Lineage: Eukaryota; Metazoa; Chordata; Actinopteri; Cypriniformes; Cyprinidae.